This is a long non-coding RNA of Myotis brandtii (Brandt's bat), 965 nucleotides long. RefSeq lists it as uncharacterized. The record is from RefSeq and is a predicted model, not a curated record. NCBI's taxonomy places the organism in Eukaryota, Metazoa, Chordata, Mammalia, Chiroptera, Vespertilionidae. The transcript is spliced from 3 exons.
GGGGUAGGGGGCAGUCCCCAUCCUGCACCCGCCGCACCUGCGGGAGCCUCUCGGGGCCCAGAUAGGUGCCCAUAGAGAGGGUGCCCUGUCGGUCGCGCCGUGGGGCCUGGAUCCCGAGCGCUGGUCCUCGGAGGUGACAGUGAGGCGACCUUCAAAGAACCCCGAGCUGAGCCAGCCCAGCGCGAGCAGCACCCCAUUCCCCCUCGCCCGCAGAACGAAUGGAAAUGAGACCUGAAUGCAUUGGGGGCCGGACAGAUGGCGUUUGGGACCCUCCCCCCUGCAUUCUGAGAGUUAGCAAGUUCACUUCGCCACUUUUUCGACGUGUGAGUUUUAGGAUUCUCUGCGAACCUCCAAGGUGUAUCCGCGUGGAGGCCACCAGCAGUGCUGAAAAGCUCCAAGUUGUAGCCAGGGGACAGUAAGCAGUAGCAUAUGUGUAGCUCUGGAUGCCGCUGAACUGCAUAGAACCCCAAAUGAUGCGCAGCUGCUUAAAGCAAGGCUUCGGUGUGUGUCUUCUGAAGGGCCGUGUGGCAUUAUUAUUCAUGGAGAAGCUCACGCAAUGAUGUGUUUGUUAAUAGGGCACCUGAGGUGGGAGAGGGUGGAAGGGGUGGGAGGUGAGCUCUUGUUUGGGCUUCCGGUCCAGCAUUCUGGGAAGGGCCGCUCCCAGCCUCACCCGGUGAGCGGUGCGCUUUUCCGAGAAGCUGUGAAUCCUUUGGUGAAGACUGGUAACUGGUGAUUUCUCAGGCCACCAACGCACAGCAUUGGGAGUCUUUUGGCCUCCAUGUCUCGAGCUAUGAAAUGGGUUCUAUGGAUGCUUCCUAAACUUGCCCCGUCGGACCCCUGGGAAGGGGGUUGGGGAGCUCAGCCUGAGGCUUCCAGCACUUUUCAGUGUUAGUCCAGUGGUUCCUUUGGUGAAGGCCAGAACACAGGGUUCUUGUCUGUUUUAAAAAUAAAGUCAUGUAAACUGC